UUUACUAGUCAUUGAUGUCCUGUCUAGCUCUAUAAUGUGCAACAUGUGGGGGAGGCCUCCCCUGAGAGUUGUGGGCAGUUGCUGCGAGCAGCUGGAUGGAGGCGCCAGGUUCCAUCUCCAAGCUGGCUGAAAAGAGUAAAAAGAAAAACAAACCUGCCUUUAAGAGUCCACAGAAAACCUUCCCCCUUCAAGUUAUUAAAGGUAUUUACCAGCAAUUAAGAAGCCAAAGUUGUCGCUGUUACCCUUAUCAUUAUUAGCCUUUCUCUGUCGCCUCAUAACACAAGUUCUCACUGCAACAUACAACCUGAGUGUUGAGGAGACAAGCUGCAAUUUUACGCAUGGUUAUUGUGUGUUCACAAAGCUUCCCCACCUCCACUCAGUCAAUACCUGGCUCUCUCUCUGACAUUUGAGGGAAGAAUUAUGAGAAGUUUUUCAGAGGAUGUAUCUGGACAGCUGGACUCCGAGUAGCAAUUCAAGAAAGGAUGCUCCCACCAAUCUUGCAGGACAAACAGUUCACUCUCCAUGCAAGACAAUAAUGGACACAAAUCUGACAUCAGAAACCACUGGGAGAACCGUUCACACUCCCAGGACACUCUGCUCCUGAGCUGAAAAUGGUCAUUCUCAAACAAAGGAACUUCAAAAGGAGAUUCCAAUGAGAAACAGCUUCAUUACAACUUACCGUAUUUUUUGCACCA
Podarcis muralis (Common wall lizard) is the source of this 695-nucleotide non-coding RNA. Lineage: Eukaryota; Metazoa; Chordata; Lepidosauria; Squamata; Lacertidae. The record is from RefSeq and is a predicted model, not a curated record.